RNAcentral lists this long non-coding RNA (1135 nucleotides) under Monodelphis domestica (gray short-tailed opossum). Its description in RNAcentral is "lncRNA (ENSMODG00000039870.1)". Lineage: Eukaryota; Metazoa; Chordata; Mammalia; Didelphimorphia; Didelphidae. The record is from RNAcentral.
UGCUAUAAAAUGAGGAAGUUAGACUCGAUGCCUUUCUAAGGUCUUUCCUGGCUUUGAAUUUAUGAUGAUCUCACAGUAGACACCUACCACCUGAGGCUGAACUUCCCUGAAGCUGUUGGGCAAAGGUGGGUAGCUGGAGGUUUGUAUUAUCACCCUUCCUUUCUAGGUUGGAUGCUAUGGCUUUACCCAGGCUGUUCAAUGCACAUUUGGUUUUGGUUACUAGAGUAGCCAGAAGGAAAUGAAAGCCAUAAGUAGCAGUGGAGACAAUAUGAGAUCUGGAGUCAGGGCACUGGGUUUGAAUCUUAGCUCUUCCUUCUUACGUAAGGGACUUUAGAUAAGUCAUCCCCCUUCUCCAGGCUUUCGAACGCUCAUCUCUAAAAUGCAGGAGUUAGGCUAGACCAUUCCCAAAGUCUUUCCUGUGCUAAUGCCUAUGAGCCUCAUAGGAUUAGAGCAUUCCACUUUACUCCAUCCAUCAAUGUGUUUGCCCAAUAGAUUAGGGUGUACCCUGGAGACUUUCAAAAUCUAGGUUGUUUAUGUGUUAGGCUGGCUCAGGCCUGGCUCAUGCUAGUCUCCAAAUGCUUGAUUUGUUUGUUUUUACUAACUGGCCGCUAGUUCCUGAGUCAGUCAAUCAGGGCAGCGGCGGGGAAGGUGACCUUGGCUCUAGCCAACCCUUCUUGUGGAGUCCUCAGAUAAUUUGAAAUACUGAUUACUAUCUCACUGCAACAUGACCAGGAUGUGAAGUCUGGGCAAAGACUCAGGGCCAGCAAAUGAGAGGGAUUAAGGUUACUGCACUUGGCAGGGGCCUGAAAAAAUUAGAGGUCCAGAAUCCAGGAGGUCAAGAUGAAGUAUCAGUUAAAAAGACCGAAGACGGUCAAGGACUAGGCGAUGGGGAUAUGUGACUUGCCCAGGGGGACACACAACCAGGAAGCGUCUGCAGCCAUUUUCGAACUCAGAUCCCCUGCCUCCAGGGCUGCGCCUCUUAACAGGGAGGAGUAACGCCCAGCACAAGCUGCGUACUCAGCAGCACCAUGAAACAUCUAGAACCUAACUGAGUGACGCUUCCUUCAGAUCAGACACUAGGCAGUCCCCACAAAUAAGCGAGUCAAACGAACAAGCUUUGAGGAAGCGCUUACUG